CUUUUGCAAACAAUGGACUGUGGCCUGGAUUUGAUUUUAAGUGCAAUAUCAGGAAUCCAAUUUCUUAGAGGGCACAGUUUUUGUGUUUGGAUUUUAAACAGUGAAGUUGUAAAGGCUAGAGUGCUGGGUGUGGCAGAAUGUGACUGAAAUGUAGAGCUGUUUUGAGAUCUUGGAGUGCACACGCCAACAGUCACCAUGAGCAUUGUAAGCGUAGGCAUUCGAAUCUUUUUAUGUAUAAUUUUGUUUCUUUCUUUUUUCUGUAUGAUUUUUUUUUUGAAUGAAAAACUGGCCAGUCUUUUGUGUUAACUGUGAAAUAGAAUGUUGAAAUUCUGUAUGAAGAUAGAGAACAGAUCCUGAAA
Molecule: long non-coding RNA, 359 nt
Organism: Telopea speciosissima
Lineage: Eukaryota; Viridiplantae; Streptophyta; Magnoliopsida; Proteales; Proteaceae
Exons: 2
Source: RefSeq, a predicted model, not a curated record